UUUGACAUACAAAGAACCAAUGGGAUACAUUGCUGAUGAAGGAGAAGGAGGUCUAAUCACUUUGGAAAACAAUUUGAAAUUCAACUGUGCAGAGAAAAUGACUGGUUCAGGCCACUCACAGUGGGUCACUCUUGGAAUCCCUUGCUGAGUUGGGAGGACUGCUUGAGCUCAGGAGCUUGAGACCAGCCUGGAAAACAUAAUGAGAUUGAGACCUCGUCUCUUCUAAAAAGAAAAAA
This 236-nucleotide long non-coding RNA is filed under the name Homo sapiens (human). Its description in RNAcentral is "HSALNT0138602". The record is from RNAcentral. Lineage: Eukaryota; Metazoa; Chordata; Mammalia; Primates; Hominidae.